GGACAGAUGGGAGCUUGCUCCCUGAUGUUAGCGGCGGACGGGUGAGUAACACGUGGGUAACCUGCCUGUAAGACUGGGAUAACUCCGGGAAACCGGGGCUAAUACCGGAUGGUUGUUUGAACCGCAUGGUUCAAACAUAAAAGGUGGCUUCGGCUACCACUUACAGAUGGACCCGCGGCGCAUUAGCUAGUUGGUGAGGUAACGGCUCACCAAGGCAACGAUGCGUAGCCGACCUGAGAGGGUGAUCGGCCACACUGGGACUGAGACACGGCCCAGACUCCUACGGGAGGCAGCAGUAGGGAAUCUUCCGCAAUGGACGAAAGUCUGACGGAGCAACGCCGCGUGAGUGAUGAAGGUUUUCGGAUCGUAAAGCUCUGUUGUUAGGGAAGAACAAGUACCGUUCGAAUAGGGCGGUACCUUGACGGUACCUAACCAGAAAGCCACGGCUAACUACGUGCCAGCAGCCGCGGUAAUACGUAGGUGGCAAGCGUUGUCCGGAAUUAUUGGGCGUAAAGGGCUCGCAGGCGGUUUCUUAAGUCUGAUGUGAAAGCCCCCGGCUCAACCGGGGAGGGUCAUUGGAAACUGGGGAACUUGAGUGCAGAAGAGGAGAGUGGAAUUCCACGUGUAGCGGUGAAAUGCGUAGAGAUGUGGAGGAACACCAGUGGCGAAGGCGACUCUCUGGUCUGUAACUGACGCUGAGGAGCGAAAGCGUGGGGAGCGAACAGGAUUAGAUACCCUGGUAGUCCACGCCGUACACGAUGAGUGCUAAGUGUUAGGGGGUUUCCGCCCCUUUAGUGCUGCAGCUAACGCAUUAAGCACUCCGCCUGGGGGAGUACGGGUCGCAAGACUGAAACUCAA
RNAcentral lists this ribosomal RNA (858 nucleotides) under Bacillus sp. (in: firmicutes). RNAcentral's name for it is "bacterial SSU rRNA". It matches the Rfam family "Bacterial small subunit ribosomal RNA", at positions 68 to 904 of the family's 1533-position model. Lineage: Bacteria; Bacillati; Bacillota; Bacilli; Caryophanales; Bacillaceae. The record is from RNAcentral.